Molecule: long non-coding RNA, 675 nt
Filed under: Rhinolophus ferrumequinum (greater horseshoe bat)
Lineage: Eukaryota; Metazoa; Chordata; Mammalia; Chiroptera; Rhinolophidae
Description: lncRNA (ENSRFEG00010022120.1)
Source: RNAcentral
UAGCCCCUCCCCCGACGACCCCCUCACCUGACUGUGCUACUCUCGGGACGGAGACCCGCCCCGGCUGCACCAGACCAGGUAGGCUCCUUGACCAGCCCCCAAGGCUGCUCGUAAUUACCGAGGGGGCCCCACUUCAGAUGCGCCCCGAUGAGGCCUCUGGUGCCGGGAGAGGGGGUACAGAGUUUCCCACUCAGAGCCGCAGGACGCCAGUGAGGUCUGGCGGUGCUGGGGAUCCCGCCUGCGGUCGCUGUCCCCGGAGGCCAGGACCCAACCGGCAGGUCCCGGCUGACCGAGGUCUGGCCUCAGGACCCCCGCUUCCCCUCGAGGACGAAAUCCAGACUCUCUGCCGCGAGGGCUUUCUCGGAACUGCAUGAUCCUGAAAGUCUUAUGAGAAGAUGUGGUGAGGACCAGAGCCAGCCACGCACCCCGCCAUGGCCGGCUGAGGGACGUUGGAGACGUGCCUCCCACCCGCUCCCUAUGCUGCACCAGCAGAGAGCUAUUCCUUGGAGUUGGCACAGAGGACUGUACCAGGGAGAUUAUCGAGAACACUUCCGAUGGCACAGGAGGCGGUGGGGCAGAAAUGAGAGUCCCGGGGACAGAAGACAAGAGAGAGGUGAGGACACUUGAUCCUGAGAGUGCCAAGAGAUGGAGCCCAGAGCCAGGAGGCAGGCGCUG